GCAAGUCGAGGGGUAGCAGGAUUUAGUUUACUAGAUUGCUGACGACCGGCGCACGGGUGAGUAACGCGUAUACAAUUUGCCUUUUACUGGAGGAUAGCCAAGAGAAAUUUUGAUUAAUACUCCAUAGUAUUAUUAGAUCACCUGGUUUGAUAAUUAAAGCUCCGGCGGUAAAAGAUGGCUAUGCGUCCUAUUAGCUAGAUGGUAAGGUAAUGGCUUACCAUGGCAACGAUAGGUAGGGGCCCUGAGAGGGGGAUC
RNAcentral lists this ribosomal RNA (255 nucleotides) under uncultured bacterium. RNAcentral describes it as "partial 16S ribosomal RNA". It matches the Rfam family "Bacterial small subunit ribosomal RNA", at positions 57 to 305 of the family's 1533-position model. The record is from RNAcentral.